UCUGCCAAACGAAAUAGAAGAACUUCUCCUCCUCAUUUCUAUCGAUCAAUUAUGGCUCUGUAGCGCUAAACCGAAGACUUCCUCCACUACCAAUGCUCUACAAUAAAAGUGAUUGAAGCUGCAAACAUAGGCUCAGUGUCUCACUAGGAGAUUGUCAUAUAGCUGUAUUUUUUACUUUAAGCUAAACUUGAAUGAAGAUUAAGGAGCAAGAUGGAGAGUUUGAUCUCAUGUGAUAAGG
Coffea eugenioides is the source of this 238-nucleotide long non-coding RNA. RefSeq lists it as uncharacterized. The transcript has 3 exons. NCBI's taxonomy places the organism in Eukaryota, Viridiplantae, Streptophyta, Magnoliopsida, Gentianales, Rubiaceae. The record is from RefSeq and is a predicted model, not a curated record.